Molecule: long non-coding RNA, 814 nt
Organism: Stegostoma tigrinum
Lineage: Eukaryota; Metazoa; Chordata; Chondrichthyes; Orectolobiformes; Stegostomatidae
Exons: 4
Source: RefSeq, a predicted model, not a curated record
AAGGUGGAGGGUGAUCUGUUUUCUGUACCGCUGUUGUAGGUGCACUCAUAAUGCUGGUACGGAAAGAAUUCCAAGAUUUUGACACAGCAACAAUGAAGAUAUAAUAACCUAUUUCCAAGUCAGGAUGGAGGGUCACUCUACGCAGGCCACCUAUUCUGAGGACUUCACAGAACUACUCCAAAUGCAAAAAAAGAAUGCAAAGGAUGAUAGACCUUUGGAGACUGCUGAGCACAGUGCUGGGGUGCAUCAUGUCAUCGAGUCAGGCAACACCGUUUUGAUUUGAACUGGAGGUGCAGCUAUUAGUCUCGGAAGGCCUAAGGAAUCACCCGAUCGUUGUGAUUUCCCUGGAUAGUUAAUGAUGUCCUCUUAUGAAGUGCUUGAAUGACGUCAAUGGAUUGCAGACUGUGGAGGGCAAAGUACACAUCGUUACUUACCAGUUGGCUCUGUUACCUCCAAAUGAUAAGCACAUUCUCAAAGUCCUGGUAUCCUACAGACUGGAGUCAAAUUGAUCUCAUUUCCUUAAUCAGAGGGGCUAUUUUACCUCACCAUGUUACCCAUAACUUCAUAGGCUGGAGAUUCAUGCUUUUUGGAUAAAGUUUCCAAUUGAAUAAGACAGUUACACUGACCCCUGUAUCAAAUGUAACUGAGAUGUUCAUUAAUCUUAAAAACCGCUCAGGCAGAGGAGCAUAAGUAGGCCAUUCAGUCCAUCGAGCCUGCUCUGUCACUGAAUGAAAUCAUGAUUGAUCUGAAAAUCCCCAACUCCACUUUCCUGCCUUUUCCCUGUUGCCUCCAAUUCUCUUACUCAUUAAAAAUC